GAUGAACGCUGGCGGCGUGCUUAACACAUGCAAGUCGAACGAAGCUGCUUAACAGAUUUCCUUCGGGAUUGAUGUUUUGUAGACUGAGUGGCGGACGGGUGAGUAACGCGUGGGUAACCUGCCCUGUACAGGGGGAUAACAAUCAGAAAUGACUGCUAAUACCGCAUAAGACCACAGCACCGCAUGGUGCAGGGGUAAAAACUCCGGUGGUACAGGAUGGACCCGCGUCUGAUUAGCUGGUUGGUGAGGUAACGGCUCACCAAGGCGACGAUCAGUAGCCGGCUUGAGAAAGUGAACGGCCACAUUGGGACUGAGACACGGCCCAAACUCCUACGGGAGGCAGCAGUGGGGAAUAUUGCACAAUGGGGGGAACCCUGAUGCAGCGACGCCGCGUGAGUGAAGAAGUAUCUCGGUAUGUAAAGCUCUAUCAGCAGGGAAGAAAAUGACGGUACCUGACUAAGAAGCCCCGGCUA
This 473-nucleotide ribosomal RNA is filed under the name uncultured bacterium. RNAcentral's name for it is "bacterial SSU rRNA". It matches the Rfam family "Bacterial small subunit ribosomal RNA", at positions 28 to 499 of the family's 1533-position model. The record is from RNAcentral.